This 224-nucleotide long non-coding RNA is filed under the name Mytilus galloprovincialis (Mediterranean mussel). Lineage: Eukaryota; Metazoa; Mollusca; Bivalvia; Mytilida; Mytilidae. The record is from RNAcentral.
GGGCCUUUUAUAGCUGACUAUGCCGUAAGAACUUUGCUCAUUGUUGAAUGCGGUAUGACCUAUACUAGUAGCUUUUAAUUUCUGUGUCAUUUGCAAUCAUACCACAUUUUUUUAAUUCUACUGUAGAUAAGUUCUUUUAUUAUACCAGGAAUUUAAGAUUGGACCUUAAUUCAAACGGUGAUUCGGGAUUAACACUAGUUGGGAUUUUAAUUUUUCUUUAGUAA